AUCAAGCUUAAAUUGCUUCUCUUUAUAUACACGUGAAACUUUAACUCGAUCUGAAAUAUUAGGCGUUUUUUUUUCCGAUAUUCAAAUUCAAUUUUCUAUGGUUCUGGUUAAGCUAUUCUCACAAAAUUUUGCACAAACUUGAAAUGGUCAUUCUAUAUAACCAUGUCAAAAUAUCAAUUAGACGAGAUUUGUAAUCAAGGAAAUAAUGAGUAUUUUAUUUUCAGUAUUAUUCUUGAAAUUUGUAUGGUCCAUUUCCUAUAGUUCUGAUGAUGUGAUCAUCCUGAAAUUUUUCAUGGAGCUAGCGAUUGGUAUUUCAUAUCGACAUGCAAAAGUUCAAGUCAAUGAGCGUCUUAUCAGCAAAACGUCCAGAAAAGGUAAGGUGCCUUCCUGUGAUUCGAUUUCAAUGGUGAAUUUUAAUCGUGAAUGUACGCUGUUAAACACAGUGAUGGUCUCAUCUGCCUUAUCGGCUGGUAUCGACGUGCAGAUAUCAUCCACGUAUCUCUUAAAAAUAGGUGUGCAGAAGGAAAGUCGGCCUAGAGCGAUCUUUUGAAUUUCUACCAUAACAAUGUCAGCCACCACAGGAGCAAGACAGUUCCCCAUUCCAAGUCCAAAAAUUUGUUUAUAAUAUUUGUUGUUAAAAAUAAAGAAACUGCUUUCAACACA
Molecule: long non-coding RNA, 663 nt
Organism: Harmonia axyridis
Lineage: Eukaryota; Metazoa; Arthropoda; Insecta; Coleoptera; Coccinellidae
Exons: 2
Source: RefSeq, a predicted model, not a curated record